Molecule: transfer RNA, 70 nt
Filed under: Bifidobacterium adolescentis
Lineage: Bacteria; Bacillati; Actinomycetota; Actinomycetes; Bifidobacteriales; Bifidobacteriaceae
Description: tRNA-Arg
Rfam family: tRNA
About the family: Transfer RNA (tRNA) molecules are approximately 80 nucleotides in length. Their secondary structure includes four short double-helical elements and three loops (D, anti-codon, and T loops).
Source: RNAcentral
GCCUUCGUAGGAAUCAGUGGUAGAUCGUACCGGCCGCGUGUAUGCGCGGGUUCGAAUCCCGCCGAAGGCA